CGAGACGGUGAUGUCGCGCGCGAGGUAUUCCGCCGCGCCAUGCUUCCAGCUAACCGGGCUGAAUUUCGGGCCUUCACGCUGGAGGAAAUCGUCGACCAGACCUAUUGCAACACAGCUCGGGUAAGUCAUCUCCUCAUUUUACCCUUAACUAUCAGCGUUUCUUUCGCCUUUACUUAUAGUUGCUUUUCCUGCAGUAUAUCCACGAAGUUGAUACCCUGGUGU
This 222-nucleotide long non-coding RNA is filed under the name Phoenix dactylifera (date palm). Its description in RNAcentral is "long non-coding RNA (PDAC_LNC010984)". The record is from RNAcentral. Lineage: Eukaryota; Viridiplantae; Streptophyta; Magnoliopsida; Arecales; Arecaceae.